GGGUGGCGGCUGGAUCCUGAGCUGUGUCCCCGGUGCCCAGUGCUCCCGGGCCUGCGCUGUUGGAUUCACGCUCCCAGUGGCGCAGCCCCCU
This 91-nucleotide microRNA precursor is filed under the name Canis lupus familiaris (dog). RNAcentral describes it as "mir-8799 microRNA precursor family". It matches the Rfam family "mir-8799 microRNA precursor family". Lineage: Eukaryota; Metazoa; Chordata; Mammalia; Carnivora; Canidae. RNAcentral also lists the same sequence under 1 other name. The record is from Rfam by way of RNAcentral.